This 496-nucleotide ribosomal RNA is filed under the name uncultured microorganism. RNAcentral describes it as "bacterial SSU rRNA". It matches the Rfam family "Archaeal small subunit ribosomal RNA", at positions 234 to 734 of the family's 1478-position model. The record is from RNAcentral.
UGUCGGGGUAACGGCCCAACAAGCCAGUAAUCGGUACGGGUUGUGGGAGCAAGAGCCCGGAGUUGGAUUCUGAGACACGAAUCCAGGCCCUACGGGGCGCAGCAGGCGCGAAAACUUUACAAUGCGGGCAACCGUGAUAAGGGAACCUCGAGUGCCUGUAUAUGCAGGCUGUCUGGGUGUCUAAAACACACCUAAAGAAAGGGCCGGGCAAGACCGGUGCCAGCCGCCGCGGUAAUACCGGCGGCUCGAGUGGUGGCCACUUUUAUUGGGCUUAAAGCGUUCGUAGCUGGGUUAUUAAGUCCCUUGGGAAAUCCGACGGCUUAACCGUCGGGCGUCUAAGGGAUACUGGCAAUCUUGGAACCGGGAGAGGUGAGGGGUACUCCGGGGGUAGGAGUGAAAUCCUGUAAUCCUCGAGGGACCACCUGUGGCGAAGGCGCCUCACCAGAACGGCUUCGACAGUGAGGGACGAAAGCUGGGGGAGCAAACCGGAUUAGAU